RNAcentral lists this ribosomal RNA (253 nucleotides) under uncultured bacterium. RNAcentral describes it as "partial 16S ribosomal RNA". It matches the Rfam family "Bacterial small subunit ribosomal RNA", at positions 524 to 776 of the family's 1533-position model. The record is from RNAcentral.
UACGUAGGGGGCAAGCGUUGUCCGGAUUUAUUGGGCGUAAAGAGCGUGUAGGCGGCCAGAUAGGUCUGUUGUGAAAACUCGAGGCUCAACCUCGAGACGCCGACGGAAACCAUCUGGCUAGAGUCCGGAAGAGGAGAGUGGAAUUCCUGGUGUAGCGGUGAAAUGCGCAGAUAUCAGGAGGAACACCGGUGGCGAAGGCGGCUUGCUGGGCCUUACCUGACGCUGAGGAGCGAAAGCGUGGGGAGCGAACAGG